This 761-nucleotide ribosomal RNA is filed under the name Prevotella melaninogenica. Its description in RNAcentral is "bacterial SSU rRNA". It matches the Rfam family "Bacterial small subunit ribosomal RNA", at positions 28 to 776 of the family's 1533-position model. Lineage: Bacteria; Pseudomonadati; Bacteroidota; Bacteroidia; Bacteroidales; Prevotellaceae. The record is from RNAcentral.
GAUGAACGCUAGCUACAGGCUUAACACAUGCAAGUCGAGGGGAAACGGCAUUGAGUGCUUGCACUCUUUGGACGUCGACCGGCGCACGGGUGAGUAACGCGUAUCCAACCUUCCCAUUACUGUGGGAUAACCUGCCGAAAGGCAGACUAAUACCGCAUAGUCUUCGAUGACGGCAUCAGAUUUGAAGUAAAGAUUUAUCGGUAAUGGAUGGGGAUGCGUCUGAUUAGCUUGUUGGCGGGGUAACGGCCCACCAAGGCGACGAUCAGUAGGGGUUCUGAGAGGAAGGUCCCCCACAUUGGAACUGAGACACGGUCCAAACUCCUACGGGAGGCAGCAGUGAGGAAUAUUGGUCAAUGGACGUAAGUCUGAACCAGCCAAGUAGCGUGCAGGAUGACGGCCCUAUGGGUUGUAAACUGCUUUUGUAUGGGGAUAAAGUUAGGGACGUGUCCCUAUUUGCAGGUACCAUACGAAUAAGGACCGGCUAAUUCCGUGCCAGCAGCCGCGGUAAUACGUAGGGGGCAAGCGUUAUCCGGAUUUACUGGGUGUAAAGGGAGCGCAGGCGGUUUGGCAAGUUGAGAGUGGAAGCAGGGGGCUCAACCCCUUGACUGCUCCCAAAACUGUUAAACUUGAGUAUGGGAGAGGCAGGCGGAAUUCCUAGUGUAGCGGUGAAAUGCUUAGAUAUUAGGAAGAACACCGGUGGCGAAGGCGGCCUGCUGGACCAAAACUGACGCUGAGGCUCGAAAGCGUGGGUAGCAAACAGG